This 253-nucleotide ribosomal RNA is filed under the name uncultured bacterium. RNAcentral describes it as "partial 16S ribosomal RNA". It matches the Rfam family "Bacterial small subunit ribosomal RNA", at positions 524 to 776 of the family's 1533-position model. The record is from RNAcentral.
UACGUAGGGACCAAGCGUUGUUCGGAUUUACUGGGCGUAAAGGGCGCGUAGGCGGCCUUCUAAGUCGAACGUGAAAUCCUCGGGCUCAACCCGGGAACUGCGUCCGAUACUGGAAGGCUUGAAUCCGGGAGAGGGAUGUGGAAUUCCAGGUGUAGCGGUGAAAUGCGUAGAUAUCUGGAGGAACACCGGUGGCGAAGGCGACAUCCUGGACCGGUACUGACGCUGAGGCGCGAAAGCCAGGGGAGCAAACGGG